RNAcentral lists this long non-coding RNA (268 nucleotides) under Nicotiana benthamiana. RNAcentral describes it as "long non-coding RNA (NBEN_LNC034063)". The record is from RNAcentral. Lineage: Eukaryota; Viridiplantae; Streptophyta; Magnoliopsida; Solanales; Solanaceae.
AUGUUUGAUCACUACACCAAGAGUACCACUUACAAGUUGUUUUUCUGUCCAAAGACUAAAAUCAAUGUUGUGCUAGGUAUCUUGUAAUGGGAUAUGCCAAUUUUGAAUCUAUAAAGUAAAGUUAAAGUUCAAGUAAUUGUAAGCAUGUAAUCAGUAAUCCUUUUGUUCUAUUUUCAGUUAAUUCUUCUGCUUCUACGAUCUCUGCCAUAUCAAUAGCAUCCAUGUGCUUAACGGCACAAACUUUAAGGAAUGGAAAGAGAACGUCAUG